Molecule: ribosomal RNA, 253 nt
Filed under: uncultured bacterium
Lineage: Bacteria
Description: partial 16S ribosomal RNA
Rfam family: Bacterial small subunit ribosomal RNA
Source: RNAcentral
UACGGAGGGUGCAAGCAUUAAUCGGAUUUAUUGGGCGUAAAGGGCGCGUAGGCGGAAAUAAUAGUCAGAUGUGAAAUCCCGGGGCUCAACCUCGGAACAGCAUUUGAAACUGUAUUUCUAGAGGAUAGGCGGAGAAAACGGAAUUCCACAAGUAGCGGUGAAAUGCGUAGAUAUGUGGAAGAACACCGGUGGCGAAGGCGGUUUUCUAGCUUAUUCCUGACGCUGAGGCGCGAAAGCAAGGGGAUCAAACAGG